This 1988-nucleotide unclassified non-coding RNA is filed under the name Hevea brasiliensis (rubber tree). Lineage: Eukaryota; Viridiplantae; Streptophyta; Magnoliopsida; Malpighiales; Euphorbiaceae. The record is from RNAcentral.
UCAGGAUGUACUAUUGUACAACUUCUUUGGCUCAUCACCGUUGAAAAAUAAGUGGAGAGUUAUUUAUGAAUACAUGAAAGAACAGAAUUUGCUUGAUGCUAGUUCUCCAUCUGUUCCAAGUUUUAAUCCAGGAAAACACAAUGUCCUGUGCUCUGAAUUGAAGCAAUUAUAUGUUGCUAUCACUCGUACAAGGCAGAGAUUGUGGAUUUGUGAGAAUAUUGAGGAGUUCUCCAAACCAAUGUUUGAUUAUUGGAGGAAGAAGGCCCUUGUCCAAGUCAGACAGCUGGAUGAUUCUCUUGCAUUAGCAAUGCAAGUUGCCAGCAGCCCAGAAGAGUGGAAGUCACAGGGUUAUAAGGUUUUCUGGUUUUUAUUUCUUUGUAGUUUCUUAAAUAUGAAUAACCUUGCUAUUAAUUCUGUUAUUUUUCUUGUCGAUAAUAUUGUUAUCAUGUGCUUAUCGGUAAUUUACCCUAAAAGUUUGGAAAUGCAAUAAAUUUGUGCAAGUUAGGAGACUGUUGUUUGCAGUUGCUGUUAUCAAUUAUUAUUGCAUUUUUGUCUUCCAUAUAAAGUAUAUAACAAAAAUAUUUGCUGCCAUCAUGUGCUAUUUUGGGGGUAUCAAUGAGAAUAAUUUUUUGUCUUACAUAAAACUACAAGGACAUGAAGAUGCCUUUCAUACUGAGUUCUUGUAGUUGCAUCAUGGUCAUGAAAUAGUAACUUUCUCUUUCUUUUCCUUAUGUUGGUCAUGAAGCUUUUGUGUUUGGGCAACUAUGAGAUGGCAACAAUGUGCUUUGAAAGAGCAGGAGAUGAAUAUGGAGAAAAAUUGGCCAAGGCUUCUGGGCUCCGAGCAGCUGCUGAAAAAAUGCAAGCUUCAAAUCCUGAGAUGGCUUCUACUGCCCGCAGGCAGGCUGCUGAAAUUUUUGAGGCCAUUGGAAAAGCUGAGUAUGCUGCAGAAUGUUUUUUCAUGCUAAAGGAGUAUGAAAGAGCAGGAAAAAUUUAUUUGAAAUGUGGCGAUUUUGCUUUGGAAAAAGCUGGGGAGUGUUUCUAUCUUGCUGGAUGUUAUAAAUUUGCAGCAGAAGUAUAUGCCAAAGGCAACCAUUUCUCAAAGUGUUUAUCUGCCUGUACUGAAGGAAAACUCUUUGAUGUGGGCUUGCAAUACAUUCAGUACUGGAAACAACAUGUGACAGAAGAUAUUUACAUGGUUAAAAGGAGCGAGGAAAUGGAUAAAAUUGAACGAGAGUUUUUGGAGAGCUGUGCACUUCACUAUCACGAGUUGAAUGAUAACAGAGCCAUGAUGAAAUAUGUUAGAGCUUUUGACUCCAUAGCUUCCAUCCGCACUUUCUUGGAAAAUUUAGGGUGCCUUGAUGAGCUUCUUUUAUUUGAAGAAGAAUCAGGCAACUUCCUGGAGGCAGCAAAAAUUGCAAAGCAGAAAGGUGAACUUUUACAUGAGGCUGAUCUGCUUGGAAAGGCUGGACAUUUUAAGGAUGCAUCAUUGCUUAUUCUUUGGUAUGUGUUCGCAAGCUCUCUGUGGUCAUUUGGGAGCAAAGGCUGGCCCUUAAAGGAGUUUACAGAGAAGGUGGAGCUUCUAACAAAAGCAGAGUCAUUUGCAAAGAAUGAUUCGAGACAAUAUUACGAGUUUGUGCAUAUGGAAGCCGGAAUUUUAUUGAAUAACCAGUGCAGCCUGUCCACGAUGAAACAACAUCUAAACGCUUCUCAGGGACAGAAGAGUAUAAGAGGUGAAAUAUUAUCUGCUCGAAAGAUUCUGGAUGCACAUCUUAAUUUAAAUGCCUGUAAGUAUGAGUGGGAAAAUGACAUGGUUCUUGAUCUAACAAGGUUCUCAGAAAAUAAAAUUUCAAAAAAUCAGGUUUGUAUUGAGACACUAGUUUACUUCUGGAAUUUCUGGAAGGAUAAUAUUGGGAAAAUAUUCGAGUAUCUGAGAAGUCUUGAAACACAAGACGCUAGUGAAUUCAGAAGUUAUGGAGAAUUCUGCUUGA